Molecule: ribosomal RNA, 1240 nt
Filed under: Ocypus brunnipes
Lineage: Eukaryota; Metazoa; Arthropoda; Insecta; Coleoptera; Staphylinidae
Description: 16S ribosomal RNA
Rfam family: Archaeal large subunit ribosomal RNA (bases 1029-1188)
Source: RNAcentral
UUAUUGUUGUUAUUUAAAUAAAAUAUUCUUAUUUUUAUUAUUGUUAAAGAAAAAAAUAGAUUUAUAAUAGUGAAUUAGUAUAGUGAUAUAAAUUUUAAACAUUUGAAAGGUUAAAUUUUUAAAAGAAGAGUUAAUAUUUUGUACCUUGGGUAUCAGGGUUUAUUAAAUAGAUAUUAAAAAUAUAAUUUUCUCGAUUUUAAAAGAGUUAAGGGAUUAUAGAUUUUAUUGUAAAAUAAAUAUUUAAAAUAGUUCUUUAGUAAUGAAACGUUAGUCGUUUUUAAAUAUAUCUAGUUUUUGAAGAAAAAAAUUUAAUUUUAUAUUUUAAAUACAAAUUAUUAAUUGUUUAGUAAUUUUUUUUAAAAUUUAAAUAUCUUAGGGGAUAAGCUUUAAGGUAAAUUUUUAUAAUUUUAUUAUUUUAAAGAAAGCUGUAGGGUUAGAAAUUUCCAUCAAUUUAGUUUGUUAUAAUUAAUUUUUCUUUGAAUAUGAUUUUUAUUUGAUUUAUAUUUUUAUUCAAAUUAACUAUUUAAUUAUAAAUUAGUUGUAAUUAUGAUGAAAUUAGUAUAAUCUUAGUUUAAUAUUAUUUAUUUUAUUUAAGGUAAUAUAAAGGAAUUCGGCAAAUUAUUUCUCGCCUGUUUAUUAAAAACAUGUCUUUUUGAUUUUAAUUUAAAGUCUAACCUGCCCAUUGAGGUUUUAAAGGCCGCGGUAUUUUGACCGUGCGAAGGUAGCAAAAUAAUUAGUUUUUUAAUUGAAAGCUGGAAUGAAUGGUUGAACGAGGAAAUAGCUGUCUCUAUUUUAAUAAAUUAGAAUUUUAUCUUUAAGUUAAAAAGCUUAAAUAUAUUUGAAAGACGAGAAGACCCUAUAGAGUUUUAUAAAUUAAUUUAUUUAAGAUUUUUAGUAUUUUAUGUUUUAAUUAUUUUUGUUUAUUUUAUUGGGGUGAUGGAAAAAUUUAAUAAACUUUUUUUUUAUUGAAUCAUUUAUAAAUGAAUUUUUGAUCCAUUAUUAUGAUUAUAAGAUUAAAUUACCUUAGGGAUAACAGCGUAAUUUCUUUAAAGAGUUCAAAUCGAAAAAGAAGUUUGCGACCUCGAUGUUGGAUUAAAAUUAAUUUUUGGUGUAGAAGCUAAAAAUUUUAGGUCUGUUCGACCUUUGAAAUUUUACAUGAUCUGAGUUUAGACCGGCGUGAGCCAGGUUGGUUUCUAUCUUUAAAUUUUUAUAAUAUUUUAGUACGAAAGGACCAAGUAUU